UUGCGCCACAUCAGGAUCCAUGCCAAUUUCUCUAUACCUAAUUAGAUUUGAGUUGUAAUUUUUGAUAUUAUGAGAGAAGAUCCAAUAAGGAUGGUUGGCUAUAGCUGAUGAGUCAUAAUAUUAUCUCUUGCCUAAUUCAAAUGCGAUCCGAAUUAGAGAUAAGAUGCAGAUUAGGAAAGGAAUUUUUCAUAUAUGGUAUAUU
RNAcentral lists this long non-coding RNA (202 nucleotides) under Elaeis guineensis (African oil palm). RNAcentral describes it as "long non-coding RNA (EGUI_LNC059059)". The record is from RNAcentral. Lineage: Eukaryota; Viridiplantae; Streptophyta; Magnoliopsida; Arecales; Arecaceae.